UGGAGUUUGUAGCGGAGUCAGAACACUUAGGAUUUAUUUAUUUUCAAAUAUGCGCUUGAAGAAACUGAGAAAGUACCUGGCCUAGUCCUGAUCAUCCGCUAUUUUCAGGAGCCCAAAGAGAUUGAGCCACUAGCUCAGCUCCACAUUAUACCCUUUCGGGAGACUAGGAAAGGUGGUCACUCACUCGGUGUAUAACGAGGUGGACGCUUCUACACUCUCUUGACAGACCCCUGCAGACUACAGCAUGGCUGGCGUUCCCGUACCGGGUUAGGGUCUCCAAAACCUAUCGUUUCUUGCCCUUUUGGCUAAGAUCAAGUGCAGAGUCUCCAAAACCUAGAGCUACGAAGUCUCCCCUGCCCCAAGCUACUGCUGAGACAGCUUCAGAUUGCCACAGCCCUGUCUCUCACCCCGACCUCCUUCCUUGCCCAAGAAGAGGAGGAGAAAGGAAACUAACACUUACUGAACGCUUACUACACCUCAGGUAUUGGACCCAGGGCCCCCAACGUCCUAGAUAAGCACUCUACUACUGAGCUACGUAAUAUCCCCAGCUUGGGACGGGGUCUUGCUGAGUUCCCCAGGCUGGCUUUGAACUUGUGAUCCUCUUACCCCAGGCUCCUGAGUAGCUGCGGUUCCAGGCAUGGGCCAACUCCUGCUGGCUCAAUUUCUGCCCUGUCUCCUCAUGUUUGUCCCUAGACAGUGAAGUCAGCAGAAAAGGUACCUGGUUUCACAUUCCUAGAACUCUGAGUGGCCCAGUUAGAAGAAACUUGGAUAGUCAUUUUGUUCACCCUCUUUCCAGUUUUUGGAUGGGGAAACUGCGGUACCAAAAGCAGGAAGGAUUUACCGCAGGGGGACUAGCUAAGGCUGAAAACCAUGUGGGGGCAGGGCCUCCUGGGGGCUGGCUAGAGCUCUACCUGCCUUACGCACUUCCCCAAGUUUUCUAAGGAAACUCUGAGAUCUCUUUUCCUCACUCCUUUCUUCUGUCUGGGCUGCAAAGAGCAAUUAGCAAAUUCGUGCACUGUGAAUCACUCCUCUGUUGACACUUCCAUUCCCAAAGCUGACGAUUCCCAUAUUUGCCCAGUGCAGAUGAGGCUGACUUGGGAGUGUAGGAAGCCGAGAGUGAGCGAAGGUACAUCCAGGAGGGUCCGGCAUUCCCAACAAGCCCAGCUUUUUUCAUUGUCUCUGUGAAUGGAGGGGGAUCUUGGCUGGGUCUAUCCGGAAUAAAACUAGCUUCUUGAUGUUA
This is a long non-coding RNA of Chinchilla lanigera (long-tailed chinchilla), 1240 nucleotides long. RefSeq lists it as uncharacterized. The record is from RefSeq and is a predicted model, not a curated record. NCBI's taxonomy places the organism in Eukaryota, Metazoa, Chordata, Mammalia, Rodentia, Chinchillidae. The transcript has 3 exons.